GCCCCCUCCCUAUAGGGGCGAAUUUGAAUUUAANCGNCCCGCCGAAUUCGCCCUUUUGCCAGCAGCCCGCGGGUAAUACGAAGGCCNCCCAAGCGUUAUCCGGAAUUACUGGGCGUAAAGNGUUCGUAGGUGGGUKAACAAGUCAGAUGUGAAAGGUCCGGGCUCAACCCGGKACUUGCAUYCGAAACUAUUCAUCUUGAAUGAGGGAGAGGUAANCGGAACAGUAUGAGUAGGGGUGCAAUCCGUUGAUACAUCMUAGAACACCAAAAGCGAAGGCAGNUUACUGGMACUCUAUUGACACUGAGGAACGAAAGCGUGGGGAGCGAAAARGAUUARAUACCCUGGUAGUCC
Molecule: ribosomal RNA, 351 nt
Filed under: uncultured bacterium
Lineage: Bacteria
Description: partial 16S ribosomal RNA
Rfam family: Bacterial small subunit ribosomal RNA
Source: RNAcentral